RNAcentral lists this long non-coding RNA (1060 nucleotides) under Cricetulus griseus (Chinese hamster). RNAcentral's name for it is "lncRNA (ENSCGRG00015031096.1)". The record is from RNAcentral. Lineage: Eukaryota; Metazoa; Chordata; Mammalia; Rodentia; Cricetidae.
CCCGGAGAGAAGCCGCCUUGGAUGGACAGAGGGACUGAGCUACAAGCAUCCAGCCAGUCGUGUCCUGGCUCCCCGGCAGCGGUUCCCAACGUCCGCUGCUAUCCGCGCCGGCUGCCCGCCUGCCUGCCUGGCAUCUCUCUCCCGGGACACCGCCUGACCACACCCAAAGGGCCAGAGCCUGGAAGGAGAUGGACAGAAACAUUUAGGCGUAUCAGCCACCUGGCCAUGUCUAGAAUCACAGAAGCCAUAGCUCUGAGGAGGCUGGGCUCAGCUACCAGAACACUCAGUGACUGCUCCAUCUCACCCACCCAUGUGGACAGACCGCUACACAUUAUCACGGACACAGGCUGAGAGUAUGUGUGUGUGCUCAUCUGUCUCUGCUCAGCUGGACUUGCAUCCCAGGGAGGCAGAGGCAGAGGCAGCCAUGGACUUGAGGACUUGGUGGCUGGGUGGCGAAGAACAGUGGGAGAAUGAGGAGAGACCCUGAGUUGAACAACUCCCCCUGUGGCCCUCAAAGAGAAGAAAUGAGUCUCAAAUGCUGCAAGUCAGGGUGCCUGGACACACUGAGGGCUCCUACUUCUGUCUGGUAGCUGAGGGGGAAAGGCUUCCUGGAGGAGGUGACAGAUUAGAUUCAAGUGAAGGCUGAGGUAAGGAACAUGAAGGAGCUGCUACUGUGGAGAGGCAGUGAAGGAGAUGGUGAAUGGGGUGUGUGUGUGUGUGUGUGUGUGUGUGUGUGUGUGUGUGUGUGUGUGUGAGCUCCAUAUCCCAUGUGUGCUGUAGUGGUGUGGCAGGGAAAUGAGGGGUGGGCAGAGGCAAGUUGCCAUGUGAGUCCAGAGGACUAUGGGUAGCUCCUGAGAAGACACAUGGAUCCUGAGGGCAGAGGAAAACUUAAUGAUUUAGUUUGUGUUUAUUUAUUUAGGAGACAGAAUCUGUGUAGCCCUGGCUGCCCUGGAACUGUAUAUAGACCAGGCUGGCCUCCAACUCACAGAGACCUCCUGCCUGCCUCUGCCCAAGUACUGGGAUUAAAGGCAUGGGCCACUAGCCCUAACUACUCACUGUG